GUAGGGUCCAAGCGUUAUCCGGAAUUACUGGGGGGCGUAAAGUGUUCGUAGGGCGGGUUUAUUAAGUAUGUCGUCAAAUCCCGAGGCUCAACUUCGGAACGGCGGCGUAAACUAAUAAACUAGAGGAUGUUAGGGAGUGCUGGAAUUCAUAGUGUAGGGGUGAAAUCCGUUGACAUUAUGAAGAACACCAAGGGCGAAGGCAGGCACUUGGGACAUUCCUGACGCUGAGGAACGAAAGCUAGGGGAGCGAAAGGGAUUAGAGACCCCUGUAGUCCUAGCCGUAAACGAUCCUUACUAGAUGGCCGAGUCUGACUCGGCUGUCGCAAGCUAACGCGUUAAGUAAGGCGCCUGGGGAGUACGACCGCAAAGGUUA
Molecule: ribosomal RNA, 373 nt
Filed under: uncultured organism
Description: partial 16S ribosomal RNA
Rfam family: Bacterial small subunit ribosomal RNA
Source: RNAcentral